This 506-nucleotide ribosomal RNA is filed under the name uncultured bacterium. RNAcentral's name for it is "partial 16S ribosomal RNA". It matches the Rfam family "Bacterial small subunit ribosomal RNA", at positions 30 to 523 of the family's 1533-position model. The record is from RNAcentral.
AUUGAACGCUGGCGGCAGGCCUAACACAUGCAAGUCGAACGGUAACAGAAAGCAGCUUGCUGCUUUGCUGACGAGUGGCGGACGGGUGAGUAAUAUCUGGGAAACUGCCUGAUGGAGGGGGAUAACUACUGGAAACGGUAGCUAAUACCGCAUAACGUCGCAAGACCAAAGAGGGGGACCUUCGGGCCUCUUGCCAUCGGAUGUGCCCAGAUGGGAUUAGCUAGUAGGUGGGGUAACGGCUCACCUAGGCGACGAUCCCUAGCUGGUCUGAGAGGAUGACCAGCCACACUGGGACUGAGACACGGUCCAGACUCCUACGGGAGGCAGCAGUGGGGAAUAUUGCACAAUGGGCGCAAGCCUGAUGCAGCCAUGCCGCGUGUAUGAAGAAGGCCUUCGGGUUGUAAAGUACUUUCAGCGAGGAGGAAGGUGUUGUGGUUAAUAACCACAGCAAUUGACGUUACUCGCAGAAGAAGCACCGGCUAACUCCGUGCCAGCCGCCGCUGUAA